GUCGAGAAUAAUUCACAAUGGACGAAAGUCUGAUGGUGCAACGCCGCGUGAGGAUGACGGUCUUCGGAUUGUAAACUCCUGUCAUCCGGGAGUAAGACCUGGCUGUGAAUAGCAGACAGGGUUGAUAGUACCGGAAGAGGAAGGGACGGCUAACUUCGUGCCAGCAGCCGCGGUAAUACGAAGGUCCCGAGCGUUGUUCGGAAUCACUGGGCGUAAAGGGAGCGUAGGCGGCGUGGUAAGUCAGAUGUGAAAUCCCGGGGCUCAACCCCGGAACUGCAUCCGAUACUGCCGUGCUAGAGGAUUGGAGAGGUAGCUGGAAUUCUUGGUGUAGCAGUGAAAUGCGUGGAGAUCAAGAGGAACACUCGUGGCGAAAGCGAGCUACUGGACAAUAUCUGACGCUGAGGCUCGAAGGCCAGGGGAGCAAAAGGGAUUAGAAACCCCGGUAGUCC
Molecule: ribosomal RNA, 449 nt
Filed under: uncultured bacterium
Lineage: Bacteria
Description: partial 16S ribosomal RNA
Rfam family: Bacterial small subunit ribosomal RNA
Source: RNAcentral